AUGAGAAUCCCGUGUACCCUCAAGAACACUUUGCUUAUCAUAAGAGACCGUUUUGGCCUGUCCUUUUCCUCAAAAGGAUUGAGUUACCUUGCCGCACUUUUGUUACUACUAUCGUUACUUGCUCGUUACAAAUUAUCUUGCUAUCAAACUACUCCGCUACUUACAAUUUCAGCACUUGCAGACAUUACCUUACUGAAAACUACUUGUCAUUUCCUUCUGCUCCUCAUUGGGGUUGACACUCUUACUUAUCGAAAAGAGCUACAAUUGAUCCCUAUACUUGUGGAUCAUCAAUUCGCUUGCAUGUUACUCUUUGCCAUGUCAUCACGUGCAGUUCAUCUACAGUUUUUUCAAAACUUGCAUCCGUUCGGGUUUCCCAGUUUUCUCCGUUGUCCGUUUCGGCAUCCGACACUCUCACAUACACCCCCCGCACCUUCCAGAUCUCGUUUUGUGAGCGGGAGAAAAACGUUCUCGGAAUGGGCCAAGAUUUUUCGAGUGGCUUGGUACAUAACCGGUAGGCCGCCUGUCAAAUUUCGUUCCAUUUGGAGGUCGUUUGAUACCCCAACUACUAACCACGUUAACCGAAGCACUCCUUCUAUUUGCAGCCCAACACCCCUCCAUAACAGCCCACUAGCCCAUCUAAACCCCCUCCAUGCUCUUCGCCGUUGGAUCACGAUCGUGUGGGCAACAACCGCACCUCAAUAUCCCUAUCGUAGCUCCCUCUACCUAUAA
This 729-nucleotide ribosomal RNA is filed under the name Triticum aestivum (bread wheat). RNAcentral's name for it is "partial small subunit ribosomal RNA". The record is from RNAcentral. Lineage: Eukaryota; Viridiplantae; Streptophyta; Magnoliopsida; Poales; Poaceae.